GGGAAACGCAACCUUAGUGCGGACAAAAGUUGUAAUAGUAGGGAAAAAAUGGAGAGAAGGAACAACAGGGAAGAAGAAGAAAGAGUAGUUGCUGGAACAACUUUGACAAGAAAAAGUGAGAAAAGAUAAGCUUUUGAUAUUACUAUUUACAAUCAAGAAAGAAGGGAGAAUUGAAACCGUAUUGUAGCUUCAAGCGAAACAAUUCUUCGGCACAAAAAGGUCAAUUUCCCCUUUCUUUGAUUCUUCUUCAAUUUUACGGUGGAUUUCUUUAAAUCCCGAUUUAUGUAUUUGUAGGAUUCCAUCGGGUAUUGAAUAUUUAAUUUUUUUUUAAAAAUAUUAUGGACAACAAUUCUAUUUAUGUUUCAACUUAUAUGCAUGACUACAAAAAUUGAAUAGUACAAGGUAUAAACUGUAUAAAUAAUUUUUUUAAUAUAAAACUUUAGACUAAUUUAAAUUACUCAUACCAUGGGUAAAUAUAAUUAGACAAAUUGAUGAUAAAACAUAAAACUCCAAGGAUAGGGUAUUCUAUAUCAGUGAUGAAUUAGCCUAAAUGAGGCAAUUGACACGAGAUUAAUAUUAUGUGAUUAUAGAUUCAUUGGAGGAAGUUGUACGUUUGCUCGAGGUGAAGCAUUUGGUAUUUCAUCACGAGUACUGUUAGUAGUAAUCUUACCAUAAUUUGUGUUGUUGUGCGACUGCUCGAG
RNAcentral lists this long non-coding RNA (701 nucleotides) under Nicotiana benthamiana. RNAcentral describes it as "long non-coding RNA (NBEN_LNC006137)". Lineage: Eukaryota; Viridiplantae; Streptophyta; Magnoliopsida; Solanales; Solanaceae. The record is from RNAcentral.